RNAcentral lists this ribosomal RNA (99 nucleotides) under uncultured bacterium. Its description in RNAcentral is "partial 16S ribosomal RNA". It matches the Rfam family "Bacterial small subunit ribosomal RNA", at positions 1384 to 1482 of the family's 1533-position model. The record is from RNAcentral.
UACACACCGCCCGUCACACCAUGGGAGCGGGUUCUGCCAGAAGUAGUUAGCCUAACUGCAAGGAGGGCGAUUACCACGGCAGGGUUCGUGACUGGGGUG